GAAUGGCUGCAAUCCGCCAGUAUUUUUGGCUGUGGCUCGGGCUUUGUAUAAUCAUUCUCAAUGUUGUUGUCGCCCUCAUAUUCUACCUGAUCUGCAGGAGAUUAGGUUGCUAUCAAGGUAAAAUGAAGAUUAAAAAAUUCUUCAGUGUAAGGUCCCGGACAAACAUGUCACAGCUGAACACUUGCCCAGGCCACGCGCAGAGUAAUGCCUAUCAGCUCGAUAACACAGAUCAUGAAGACAAUACAGUCAACAAGUCACUCAGCAUGGACAAUAUAUCACAUAGCUAUGAGAUUCCACCUGAGUUUGAGAACAUUUCAAAUAGUGGAUACAUUGAUGUUCAUCCAGAAGACAAUGAUAGUUAUGAUGAUGUAAUUGCACCAGGAUGGGUUGAUGAAGACUAUGAUGAUAUAGCAUAAAACAUAGAACAUCAGGCCCUAUGGGCCACCAUGUCCUCGCUGACCACAAUGCCAUUGUAAACUUAUCCAUCUGCCUGCACAUGGUCUGUGUCACACUAUUAUCUACCUGUUCAUGUAUCUGCGUAAAUGUCACUUAAACAUUGCUCCUACCUGCUCAUAUCUGCUUCUACCACCUGUCCUGGCAGCACAUUCCAGGAACCUAUCACUUCCUGGGUGAAGAAACUUGCUUUGCACAUUUGCUUUAAACUUUCCCUUUCUCACCUUAAACCCAUCUCCUCUAAUAUUUGACAUUUCCACCCAGGAAAAAGACACUGACAAUCCAUCCUGUCCAUCCCUGUACUUCUAUCAGAUCAACCUCCAUAAACCUCUAGCAAAAACAGUCCAAGUGUUGUCUAACCUCUCCUUAUAGCUAAUCGGCUCCAAUCCAGGCAACAUCCUGGUAAACCUCCUUUGCACUCUCUCCAAAUCAUCCACACCCUUCCAAAGUGUUGUGACCAGAACUACACACAGUACCCCAAAUGUGGCCUAACUAAAGUCUUGUACAGCUGAAACAUGACUUGCCAACUUUUGUACUCAAUAAUGAAUGCAAGCACAUACAUCUUCUUUACCACCUUAUCCACUUGCGUUGCCACUUCCAGGGAGCUAGCAACUUGCAUCCCAAGAUCCCUCCAUUUAUCAUUGUUCUUAAGCAGCCUGCCAUUUACCAUAUAUUUUCCUCUUGUAUUUGACCUCCCAAAAACAUCACCUCACACUUCUCUGGAUUAAACACCAUCUGCGAUUUUUGAGAAGAUUUUAGCUCAAAUUGUAAGCUUGCUCACUGAGCUGGAAGGUUUGUUUUCACAUGUUUCAUGUAACAUGAUCAGCCCACAAAUCUACCAACACACUGAAACAGUUACUGAUGAACCUAAAGUGCCCUAUACCAACAACUAGCAAAACUAAUGUCAUUUACAAAAUACCCCACAAGGACAGCAACAAACACUACAUCAGACAGUCAGACAGAAAACUGGGCACCAGGAUAACGAACACCAACUAGCCACAUGACCGGUAAUAUACCACUAGUUUCCUUACACACAGACAAAGAAGGACACCACUUCGACUGGGACAACACAUCCAUCCUGGGACAGGCUGAACAGAGACACACACGGGAAUUUCUACAGGCCUGGCAUUCAAACCAGAACUCCAUCAAUAAACACAUCAAUUUGAACUCUAUUUACCAACCUUUGAGAAAAAGAACCGGAAAUGAUAUCACCCACCUUAACAGACCAAGAUACAUAAACAGAAAGUAGGACAGAACACCAGCACUUCACCUGAGGCUCAUUGAUGAUGUUACCUCACAUGGUGAUGAAACGUCUGAGACCAAACCUACCAGCUCAGCGAACAAACUUACAAUCUUAAACUCCAUUCCUCUGCGUAACUUUCCAACUGAUCUAUAUCCUGCUGUGUCCCAUGACAACUGUCCUCACUAUCCAGAUCUGCACCAAUUUUCAUGUUGUCUACAACUUACUAAUCAGAACACCUGCAUUUUCAUUCAGAUUAUUUAAAUAUAUUAUAAACAACCGAGAUGCCAGCACUGAUCCUUGCAGAAUACCUCCAGACCUCCAGUCAGAAAAACAUCCCUCCAUCGUUACCUUCUGUGGCCAAGCUGAUUUUGCAUCCAAUUUACCAACUCACCAUGGAUCCCAUGUGACUUAAACUUCUGGAACAGUCUACCAUGAGGAACCUUGUCAAAUAGAGUCCACGUUGACAAUAUCUACUGCCCUACCUCAUCAAACAUCUUUGUCACCUCCACAAAAUUCUCAAUCAAAUUUGUGAGACAAGAUCUCCCCUGCACAAGCCAUGCUAACUAUCCCUAAUAGGUCCAUUCUUAUGAGUAAAUCCUGUCCCUAAGAAUCUUUUCCAAUAAUUUCCCUACCACUGAUGCAAGGCUCACCAACCUAUAAUAUCCUGUUGCCCUUCUUAAACAAAUGAGCAGCAUUGGCAAUUCUUCAGUUCUGUGGGAUGUUGCCUGUGGCUAAAGAGGCUACAACGAUAUCUGGCAAGGCCCCAUUAAUUUCCUCCCUUGCCUUCCUCAGCGUCCUGGGAUAGGUCCCAUCAGGCCCUGGGAUCUUAUCAAGACAACCGAACCUACUCCUUCUUAAUAUCAACAUAUCCUCCCUAAUCUUACCAUCCUUCUCGUUGGUGAAUACCGAUGCAAAGUACUUCCUCUGGCUUCAUGGAUAAAUUAUCUGCUUUAUCCAUGAGUGGACCUACAUUUUGCCUAGCUCCCCUUUUGCUCCUAAUAUAAAAUAUCUUGGGAUUAUCCUACUUGCGUGGCCCCUUUUAGCUCUCCUAACUUGUGUUUAAGUUCUUUACUGUUCCCUCUAUAUUUAUCAAGGGGUUGAUCAAGGGGCUGAUUUCAAUUUCAGAAACCUUCCAUAUGAUUCUCUUUUUGACUAAACUUCCAAUACCUUUUGUCAUCCAGGGUUCCCAAAUUUUGCUAUCAUUUUCUUUCCUCCUCACAGGAACAUGCUGGUCCUGAACUCUGACCAACCGGCCUCUAAAAGACUUAACUAUAUCAGAUUCGGUUUAUUUUCAAACAAAUACCCACAAUCUACUUUCUCCAGUUCUUGCCCUAAAUUGUUGUAAUUAGCCUUCCCCCAGUUUUGCACUUCCACCCAAGGACCAGUCUUACCUUAUCCAUAACUGUCUUACAACUCAUGGAAUUACGAUCACUUUUCCCAAAAUGCUCCCCUGCUAAAACCUGGCUCAUUCUCCAAUUCAAGGCCCCUUUCCCUAGUUGGACUAUCUACAUAUUGUUUCAAGGUUCCCUCCUGGAUGCAGCUAACAAAUUCUGCUCUCUUUAAGCCCCGGUCACUAAGGGAGUCCCAGUCAAUAUAGCAGGUCCAGGUUAUUUGGCCCAUUUGUUCUAGCAUUAGGUCUUGGAAGGGGCUGUCUAGAGUCAUAGAGUUAUGGAGAUGAUGGAAACAGAUCCUUCGGUCCAACUCGUCCAUGCCAACCAGAUAUCCUAACUUAAUAUAGUCCCAUUUGCCAGCACUCAGCCCAUAUCCCUCUAAACCCUUCCUAUUCACAUACCCAUCCCUUUUAAAUGCUGCAAAUGUACCAGCCUCCUCCACUUCCUCUGGCAGCUCAUUCCAUACAUGCACCACUCUCUACAUGAAAACGUUGCUCCUUAGGUCCCUUUUAAAGCUUUCCCCUCUCACACUAAACCUAUACCCUCUAGUUCUGGACUCAUCCACUUCAGGGAAAAGACCUUGUCCAUGCCCCUCAUGAUUUUGUAAACCUCUAUAAGGUCACUCCUCAGCCUCCGGUGCUCAGGGAAAACAGCCCCAGCCUGUUCAGCCUCUCCCUGUAGCUCAAACUCUCUGAUCCUGGCAACAUCCUUGUAAAUCUUUUCUGAACCCUUUCAAGUUCCACAACAUCCUCCUGAGAGGAGGGAGACCAGAAUUGCACACAAUAUUCCAAAAGUGGCCUAACCAAUGUCCUGUACAGCCACAACAUGACCUCCCAACUCCUGUACUCAAUAUUCUGACCAAUAAAGGAAAGCAUACCAAACCAAAUGCUUUCAUCGCUAUCCCAUCCACCUGUGACUCCACUUUCAAGGAACUAUGAACCUGCGCUCCGAGGUCUCUUUUAAAGCUUUGUUCAGCAACACUCCCCAGGAUCUUACCAAUAAGUAUAUUAGUCUCUCUCCCAUGACCAUUUCAAAUUGUGUACCACAUACAAUAGUGCAGCCAAAGCCUUACCAGAUACUUAAGAAGAUUCAGCAUGACUCUGCUUGAGCUAGAAUCUAUCUGUCCAUCUCUAAAGCUGGGGAUCUUAAAAGCACUUCCAAAGAUUUUUAAAUUCUAAGGCAUGCAUGCUGACAGUUCACUCUUUUAUUGUGAUGGGAUAAGUGAGGUUUCAGCAUUUUCAGUAUCUGUGAUUUUCUCCUCACUGCAGUCAUUGUUUGAACAGCAUAGUAUUUACAUUUAAUGAAAGUUACCGGCAUUAAAAUGUGUUCUACGCAGCAGCAUGGCACUGCUGUUCUAUUAAAGCUUUAAGAUUCAGUCCAUGGACAGGAAUGUGCAGGUUUUGAGGAGUCUGCUUGGUUCUGGGUGUUGGGGACACUCUCAGGAAGAUAGUAUAGCAUGGAUCACUGACCACACUGCAUAAAUACAGCAAGAGUUGCUAGGAGGGACUGAGUAUGUCUGCUGAAGAUAUGAAUUGGUGUCAGACUGACUGGAACCUGUUGGAUUAUAACUUGGUGUGAGGUGAUGUGAUUUUUUAAAAGUCUGACCAGAGAUCACUUUGCACUGCUGGCAAAGGCAUGAACUGUGACAGAGAUCAAAUAGGUAUACAAUGAAAACCUUCUCUUCAUCAAAGUCCCUCUCAGUUCUACACUUGUCAGUCACCUUCUCUGUUUGAGCAGUGACUUUAACUUACGUGGGUUUGUUGGAAUUUCAAUUCUAAUUCAUGCCAACAACAAUUACCAGGAAAUAUGUCUUGGAAUACUAAUCAGAAUGGAUGGCAUAAGGAUGCCAAGUGGGUGGCUGGGUAAAGCAUGUUACUUUGAUUGAGCUGAAAGUACAGCAGGACAUUGCAGCAUCUGAGGAGGAGGAGGAGGAAUGUAGCUGCAAGUGUAACAAAUCUUUUUUCGAAAGCGAGAGGAUUCUCAGAGAGUAUUACCACAGCUGAUGGAGAGUAAAGGAUUGCUUAAACAAUCAUUGGGACAAUGAUGCCUGACUACACAAAACUUCUCCAAGAGAAAUGGUUGACAAAAUCACCGACUUAAAGCAGCAGCUGAAGCACAUACUUACAAGUUGUUAACCUGUUACCAGGGGCUACAGUUUGUGGGAGUCAACUUCCUGAACAUGAAACAUGGCUGACCAGAAGACUUUGCUACUCUUCCUGCCGACAAGCUGUUUAUCUGAAGGGUUUUACAACCCAUUUGCCCACAUUAUGAAUGGAUUUUCCACGGUAAUCAGACCCUGAAGUUGGACUCGAGCCAAGGAUGUUACAAGAUUUCCUCAAAUCUAGCCUGAGAUUUGACAAACAAUUUGGGCCUUUUAACUGGUCUCAUUACCUUUGCUUUGGCAACUCUGCAGGCCCACUCAAGAAAUAAGGAGAUGAGACCGUGGCAGUGACCGUGCACCAAGAUUGGGCUGUUGGACACGUGGAGACUUCCUGCACUAACUGAGCUCAGCCUACCUUGGAAAUAUGCAAAGUGCCAAUAUGAUGGAACAAUGCUUCUCUUCCCAGUCAGUCUCACCCACUGUACACCUGAUAUUUAUGACAUUCCAGCUGAGGCAUUUGUGCGCAACAUCUGGGGAAUGAAUUGAACCACGUGUGAGCAGCUUCCAGGAGUUACAUAACAGCUGCAUCAAGGACAUUCGCUCUAUCACAAGGUCAAUUCCUGGGAACAUUUGAGUAACGAAGAUCAAGAUUCAAUUCCUAAACACCUACAAACAUGAGGAAGGUUAGGCCUGUCUCCUUUGGAGUCUUGAAGAGUUAGAGGUGACUUAAUUGAAACUUAUAAAAUCCCGCAGGGACUUGACUGGGUGGAUGUUGAAAAGAUGUUACCUGUUCUGGCUGAAUCUACAAAUAGUAUCACAGUUUAAAAAUAAAGGGUCACUCAUUUAAACCAGAGACGAGGAUGAUUUUUUUCCUCUGUGUGUUGAGAGUUUCCUGGAUUCAGAAUCAUUAAUCAUUAUUGUUAAGGCAGAGGUAGAUCAGUUCUUGAUUGCCAAAGGGUUGAAAGCUUAUUGGAAAUACACAGGGAUGUAGAAGGGAGGUUAAAAUCAGAUCAGCCAAGAUCUCACUGAAUCACAGAGUAAACUUAAAGGGCUGAGUGGCCUGCUCCUUUUCCUCAUUCAUAUGAAUGGGGUUUCAGAUGAGCUUGGAGCAAGUAUAGGCCAUUUAAUAUGAUCACAGCUGACUUUUACCUUGAAUUCAUCAAUCCAGUAUCUACGAAAAAUCUGUCAGUUUAUCUUAGUUUCUGCUGACCCCCAGUAUCCACAGCCUUUUGGGGAGUGAGUUUAAGAUUUCCUUUUGUCAACUUUUGUUUGUGUCUAUCCCUGUUAGAGGACGUUGUUUGCCUGAAUCUAUCUUUAAUCAUAUUAAAUACUGCCAUCUUUACAGAUGUAGGGAAAUAUAAGCCAAGUUUUGAAAUCUGACCUCAGAAUUUAAUCCUUUAAACCUUGGUACCUUUUGUAGAGUCAUACAGUAUGGAAAAAGACCCUUCGGUCCAACACUUCCAUGUUGACCAGGUAUCCUAAACUGAAGUAUCCCAUUUGCCUGUUGUUGGCCUGUAUCCCUCUAAACCUUUCCUCUUCAUGUACCUGACCAAAUGUCUUCUAAAUGUUGCAAUUGUACAUGCCUCUCCCAUUUCCUCUGGGCUGCCUCUCGCUCCUGAGGUAUUGACAACUAAAUGCAGUUCCUCCAGCUGGGGUCUGUAUAAUUAAUGCACUCUUUCACUUUACGAUUCCAGCACCUCCCUGCCCUGAGGUGACAGUGUCUCAAUAACUGCACAUGUGCCUUAAUAUAACAAACCAAGGUUAAAAUUCUCAAUGACAAAAAAUCACUUUAGAAGCAUCAAUAGAAAUGUAAAAUGUUUAUCCAUGUAUCAGUGAGAGAUACUUGUUGGAAUUCUGUAAAUAGGCCUCUCCUCAGUGUGUACCAAUUAAAGACCACAAUUGCCCAAAGCUGUCUCCAUUUAUUUUUGUUGGACAUUUUCUCUGAUUUUAUGUAAAUAUAAUUAUGUAAUAUCACAAUACAUUUUAAUAUUAAAGUUUGAAUGUGUUAAAUUUAACAGUUUCGGCUAUU
Molecule: long non-coding RNA, 7217 nt
Organism: Hemiscyllium ocellatum (epaulette shark)
Lineage: Eukaryota; Metazoa; Chordata; Chondrichthyes; Orectolobiformes; Hemiscylliidae
Exons: 4
Source: RefSeq, a predicted model, not a curated record